CACGUUUCAAAAAAUCAUCAAACAUGCAUUUUAGUUGGAGAUGAGAGUAUAUCCAGUUCUUCCUUGUUCCCCUUGGCUUUGCACCGUUAAAUUGUAUCUGCUGGACGCAGAAGUUUUCUACCUAAAGUUAUUUUAAACAAACAGUGUGAUUGG
This is a long non-coding RNA of Etheostoma spectabile (orangethroat darter), 153 nucleotides long. RefSeq lists it as uncharacterized. The record is from RefSeq and is a predicted model, not a curated record. The transcript has 3 exons. Lineage: Eukaryota; Metazoa; Chordata; Actinopteri; Perciformes; Percidae.